RNAcentral lists this ribosomal RNA (455 nucleotides) under Opius sp. XYL-2012. RNAcentral describes it as "eukaryotic LSU rRNA". Lineage: Eukaryota; Metazoa; Arthropoda; Insecta; Hymenoptera; Braconidae. The record is from RNAcentral.
AAACCGUUCAGGGGUAAACCUGAGAAACCCAAAAGAUCGAAUGGGGAGAUUCAUCGUCAGCUCAUUUUGUAUAUAUGCAAGCUAUGAUAUGGGUUACUACUUGUAGUAUUGCCUGUACAUUCUUGUAUAUUUAUUUGCAAGAUGUUGUCGGCGUGCACUUCUCCCCUAGUAGGACGUCGCGACCCGUUGAGUGUCGGUCUACGGCCCAAGUGGGAGCUUUUAAUAAAUUUUAUUUAUUGAAAACCCUUGGUGUUUCCUGACUGGCACUCGGCGGUAUUCGUAUGGUAUUGAGCCGCAUAUUAUAUGCGUCCCUAUCCGUCGCAAGCGCGGUUAGUUACUGAUAGUGCGGACCUAGUGCCGUCGUUGGUGCUAAUCAGCUGUUGGUUGUAUGGAAUUCUAGGACUGGCUCGUUGAAAUACCGGUCGGCGAUGCUACUGCUUUGGGUACUUUCAGGA